GGAUUAGAUACCCUGGUAGUCCACACCGUAAACGAUGAGAGCUAGUUGUCAGCAAGUAUACUUGUUGGUGACGCAGCUAACGCAUUAAGCUCUCCGCCUGGGGAGUACGGCCGCAAGGUUAAAACUCAAAGAAAUUGACGGGGGCCCGCACAAGCGGUGGAGCAUGUGGUUUAAUUCGAAGCAACGCGCAGAACCUUACCUACCCUUGACAUCCUGUGCUACAUCCAGAGAUGGAUGGUCCCUUCGGGGCGCAGUGACAGGUGCUGCAUGGCUGUCGUCAGCUCGUGCCG
This 290-nucleotide ribosomal RNA is filed under the name uncultured bacterium. RNAcentral's name for it is "partial 16S ribosomal RNA". It matches the Rfam family "Bacterial small subunit ribosomal RNA", at positions 775 to 1067 of the family's 1533-position model. The record is from RNAcentral.